This 73-nucleotide transfer RNA is filed under the name Nanobdellota archaeon. RNAcentral describes it as "tRNA-Glu". It matches the Rfam family "tRNA". From Rfam's summary of the family: Transfer RNA (tRNA) molecules are approximately 80 nucleotides in length. Their secondary structure includes four short double-helical elements and three loops (D, anti-codon, and T loops). The record is from RNAcentral. Lineage: Archaea; Nanobdellati; Nanobdellota.
GCUCCUGUAGUCUAGUGGCCAAGGAUAUCGCCCUCUCGCGGCGAUGACCCGGGUUCAAAUCCCGGCAGGAGCA